UCUCUGCUCAGGACGAACGCGGGCGGCGUGCCUAAUACAUGCAAGUCGAGCGGACUUAAAAAGCUUGCUUUUUAAGUUAGCGGCGGACGGGUGAGUAACACGUGGGCAACCUGCCUGUAAGACUGGGAUAACUUCGGGAAACCGGAGCUAAUACCGGAUAAUCCUUUCCUACUCAUGUAGGAAAGCUGAAAGACGGUUUACGCUGUCACUUACAGAUGGGCCCGCGGCGCAUUAGCUAGUUGGUGAGGUAACGGCUCACCAAGGCGACGAUGCGUAGCCGACCUGAGAGGGUGAUCGGCCACACUGGGACUGAGACACGGCCCAGACUCCUACGGGAGGCAGCAGUAGGGAAUCUUCCGCAAUGGACGAAAGUCUGACGGAGCAACGCCGCGUGAGUGAUGAAGGUUUUCGGAUCGUAAAACUCUGUUGUUAGGGAAGAACAAGUACGAGAGUAACUGCUCGUACCUUGACGGUACCUAACCAGAAAGCCACGGCUAACUACGUGCCAGCAGCCGCGGUAAUACGUAGGUGGCAAGCGUUGUCCGGAAUUAUUGGGCGUAAAGCGCGCGCAGGCGGUCCUUUAAGUCUGAUGUGAAAGCCCACGGCUCAACCGUGGAGGGUCAUUGGAAACUGGGGGACUUGAGUGCAGAAGAGAAGAGUGGAAUUCCACGUGUAGCGGUGAAAUGCGUAGAGAUGUGGAGGAACACCAGUGGCGAAGGCGACUCUUUGGUCUGUAACUGACGCUGAGGCGCGAAAGCGUGGGGAGCAAACAGGAUUAGAUACCCUGGUAGUCCACGCCGUAAACGAUGAGUGCUAAGUGUUAGAGGGUUUCCGCCCUUUAGUGCUGCAGCAAACGCAUAAGCACUCCGCC
This 871-nucleotide ribosomal RNA is filed under the name Niallia sp. Its description in RNAcentral is "bacterial SSU rRNA". It matches the Rfam family "Bacterial small subunit ribosomal RNA", at positions 17 to 873 of the family's 1533-position model. Lineage: Bacteria; Bacillati; Bacillota; Bacilli; Caryophanales; Bacillaceae. The record is from RNAcentral.